UACGGAGGGAGCUAGCGUUGUUCGGAAUUACUGGGCGUAAAGCGCGCGUAGGCGGUUUUUUAAGUCAGAGGUGAAAGCCCGGGGCUCAACCCCGGAAUAGCCUUUGAAACUGGUGAUCUUGAGUACGGGAGAGGUGAGUGGAAUUCCCAGUGUAGAGGUGAAAUUCGUAGAUAUUGGGAAGAACACCGGUGGCGAAGGCGGCUCACUGGCCCGUAACUGACGCUCAGGCGCGAUAGCGUGGGGAUCAAACAGG
This 253-nucleotide ribosomal RNA is filed under the name uncultured bacterium. RNAcentral describes it as "partial 16S ribosomal RNA". It matches the Rfam family "Bacterial small subunit ribosomal RNA", at positions 524 to 776 of the family's 1533-position model. The record is from RNAcentral.